Molecule: long non-coding RNA, 408 nt
Organism: Candoia aspera
Lineage: Eukaryota; Metazoa; Chordata; Lepidosauria; Squamata; Candoiidae
Exons: 3
Source: RefSeq, a predicted model, not a curated record
CGCUGGCUGCCGCUAACAGCCGCUCAAUGUAGCCUGGGGAGAAUCUCCAAGAGGGAGCAAACGGGUGGCAAGCAAACCCGCGAGAAGAAGUCGGGAGUUGGCCAGAUGCCUCUGUCAUCUUCAGGAUCAUCAGUGCAAACUCUACAGUGGGAGAAAGACCUGGGUUAUUUGAAGAUAAAAAUGCAUUCUUUCCUGAGCAUCUCUGAAAAAGUGCGAGUUAUAAAUAUAGUAAGUACCAAACGUUGUUAUGGCAAGCCGUUUGAUAUUUAUUUUUAUGAUUUCUGUCAGUUGCUGCAUAAACUACAGUGAGAUUUUGUUUUGUUUCUGAUGGCAUUUCAGUCUGUAAGAUAUGUACAUAUGUAUGUAUUAGUAAAAACCAGUAUCAUUUAAAGUAUACUUUUUAAAACU